Molecule: ribosomal RNA, 468 nt
Filed under: uncultured bacterium
Lineage: Bacteria
Description: partial 16S ribosomal RNA
Rfam family: Bacterial small subunit ribosomal RNA
Source: RNAcentral
GACGAACGCUGGCGGCGUGCUUAACACAUGCAAGUCGAACGGAAAGGCCCUGCUUUUGUGGGGUGCUCGAGUGGCGAACGGGUGAGUAACACGUGAGUAACCUGCCCUUGACUUUGGGAUAACUUCAGGAAACUGGGGCUAAUACCGGAUAUGAGCUCCUGCUGCAUGGUGGGGGUUGGAAAGUUUCGGCGGUUGGGGCUGGACUCGCGGCUUAUCAGCUUGUUGGUGGGGUAGUGGCUUACCAAGGCUUUGACGGGUAGCCGGCCUGAGAGGGUGACCGGCCACAUGGGGACUGAGAUACGGACCAGACUCCUACGGGAGGCAGCAGUGGGGAAUAUUGCACAAUGGGCGGAAGCCUGAUGCAGCAACGCCGCGUGCGGGAUGACGGCCUUCGGGUUGUAAACCGCUGUCGCCUGUGACGAAGCGUGAGUGACGGUAAUGGGUAAAGAAGCACCGGCUAACUACGUG